UUGAAAUCAUUUGUUAUGUAUAGUAUAAUAUGAAAACGGAACACAACGAGCCAUUUUCAAGGUCGGACCGUAACAGGUUGGGUCUUGCGCAAUAGGAACUCAUGAACCCCGUCAGGUCCGGAAGGAAGCAGCGGUAAGUGACAAUUCUUAUGUGCCGCAAGGGUGCCUGAUUUGUUGCGGUCCGACGUUGAAAAUGGUUUUUUAA
This 205-nucleotide signal recognition particle RNA is filed under the name Veillonellaceae bacterium. RNAcentral's name for it is "signal recognition particle sRNA large type". The stretch from base 76 to 175 matches the Rfam family "Bacterial small signal recognition particle RNA". RNAcentral also lists the same sequence under 1 other name. The record is from RNAcentral. Lineage: Bacteria; Bacillati; Bacillota; Negativicutes; Veillonellales; Veillonellaceae.